Long non-coding RNA from Felis catus (domestic cat), 706 nucleotides. RefSeq lists it as uncharacterized. The transcript has 3 exons. The record is from RefSeq and is a predicted model, not a curated record. NCBI's taxonomy places the organism in Eukaryota, Metazoa, Chordata, Mammalia, Carnivora, Felidae.
AUGAUUUGGCGGGGUCUGACAGGCAGCUUGGAAAACCGGGAAAGGCUCCGGCCUGGGAGGGGAGAGCCACGGGAUGGUCCCAGCUGGGCCUCUCACCAGCUGUGUGGCCGUGGGUGAGUCACAGCCUUUCCUAGUGGCAUGGCCCUUAUCUGCGAAGGGAGGAGGUCAGAUGCGAGGCCUUUUUAGGCCUCUGCAGCUCUGAGAUUCUCGAACUCUGUAACCAUCUCUUUAAAGAUGGAAAGCAGAGAUGCUGAGCUAGACCAGAUGUGGUGGAUAAAGCCAAGAUAAUCAGCCCAGCGGUUUCUCUCUCUCCAGUGCCCUGCGUCAGCAAGGCCUUGGCAGGCUUCACACCCAGCAUGGAGCCCAACACAAGGCUUGAACUCACAACCCUGAGCUCAAGACCUAAGGUGAGAUCAAGAGUCAGAUGCUUAACUGACUGAACCACUCAGGCGUCCCUAGAAGCCAGCUGAUUUCUAAAUGUAUCUUCCCAUCUACAAAAUGUUGUUAUUUCUGGAGAUUUGGACAGUGCAAGAUGGACCAUACAGAGGAAUAAAAGACCAGAAAGUCAUCUGAGCUGCUCCCCAAACUUUAGGCAUACUGCACUGAAACCAGUCUAGACUUCCAGAAAAGAUAAUUCUACCACCUUCUCUCAGAUUCAAAUCACACUGACUGCAUCCUAAGCCCAUUCUCUUUUAUUCUGUGUUGA